UGAAGGGCGUACGGUGGAUGCCUAGGUUUUGGAAGGCGAUGAAGGACGCGGCGUGGCAGCGAUAUGCUUCGGGGAGGUGCCAAGCAACCUACGAUCCGGAGAUCUCCGAAUGGGGAAACCUCAUCAUGCGAAAUCAUGAUGGUCUUUCAGCAAUGAAAGAAGCAUACCUUGGGAAGUGAAACAUCUCAGUACCAAGAGGAACAGAAACUAAUCAGUAUUUCGUCAGUAGCGGCGAGCGAACGCGAAGAAGCCCAAACUGCAGAAUUUCCCAAACUGCUUCAGCAAUGGAGCAGUUCGGGAGAUUCUCAGGGUCAUAAGGCAGAGAUAUCCGCUUCGAGCGGAAAAAAGUUACAAAUUGUUUUGAUAGCCGAACACGCUGGGAAGCGUGGCCCCAGACGGUGAAAGCCCGGUAGGCGAAAUCGGAACAACUUUUUCUUUGUCCUUGAGUAGUUCAAGACACGAAUGGCUUGAAUGAAUGCGCCGGAACUAACCGGUAAGGCUAAAUACUUCCAAAGACCGAUAGUGAAGAGUACCGCGAGGGAAAGGUGAAAAAUACCCCGGUGAGGGGAGUGAAAUAGAUCUGAAACCGUAUGUCUACAACGAGUCGAUGAGGGCGCAAGUCCUCUACGGCGUGCCUAUUGAAGAAUGAGCCUGCGAGUUUAUGUGUACUGCGUAUGGCUAAGGGCGAUGAGCCUGGAGCCGCAGCGAAAGCGAGUGUGAAUAGCGCGUUUGUAGUACGCAUAAGACCCGAAGCGAGGUGAGCUUGCCAUGAGCAGGGUGAAUGAAGCAGAAAUGCUUCAGGAGGCCCGAACCGUUUAGCCGUUCAAAACUAUCGGAUGACUUGUGGUAAGGAGUGAAAAGCUAAUCGAACUUCGUAAUAGCUGGUUCUCUCUGAAACAGCUUUUGGGCUGGCGUCGUGUGAUUCCGUUUACGGAAUCAAAUUGGGUAGUGGGGGUAGAGCACUGGAAGGAUGGGACAGGGCGCAAGCUCGCUCAUCCUAUCAAACUCCGAAUACCAUUACCGUUACACGGCAGUUAGUACGUGGGGGCUAAGCUCCACCGUACAAAAGGAGAAGAGUCCUAGAUCUCAAGUUAAGGUCCCAAAAUUCGUGCUCAGUGUAUCACAAGGAGGUGGAGUUUCAUUGACAAUGAGGAUGUUGGCUUAGAAGCAGCCAUCAUUGAAAGAAAGCGUAACAGCUCACUCAUCGAGAGACUCUGCGCCGAAGAUAAUCGGGGCUUAAGCACGAUACCGAAACUGAGGAUUCAUCUUGUCUUCGACAAGAUUGCGGAAGAGACAUGCGGAACGAACGCGGACGUAUGCGGAAAGAGGAAACUCAUUUUCUGCGUAGUUCGGCGUCAGUUCUGCAUAGUUCAGCAAUCUCGCCGAAGGCGAGAUGAGUGGUAAGAGAGCGUUCCCUUCGCAAUGAAGCCAAAGGGGUGACCCAUGGUGGAGCGCUGGGAAGUGAGAAUGCAGGCACAAGUAACCGCAAUGCGGGUGAGAGCCCCGCACGUCGAAAGAUCAAGGUUUCCUUGGCGACGAUGUUCGGCCAAGGGUUAGUCGGUCCUAAGGGGAUGGCGAGAGCCGGACCUGAUGGGCACACGGUUAAUAUUCCGUGACUGUGCGCAUGUGCGAUGGAGUGACGGAGGAAACAAGUGGCGGCGCCUUAUUGGAUUGGCGUCAACGUUUCUGAGGUGCGUUUCGCUGGCAAAUCCGCGGGACUGCUUUUAAUGGCAUGCAUCGUGAGACGGGGAGUACUUUCCGGUUUCGGCCGGGAAGGAUCGCUGCGAAGAGCCUUCCAAGAAAAGCUUCUAAGCUUCAACAUGCGUACAACCGUACCGUAAUCCGACACAGGUGAUCAGGUCGAGAAGACCAAGACGAACGAGUGAUUGUUCUCCAAGGAACUCGGCAAAAAAGCGGCCGUACCUUCGGAAUAAGGCCUGCCCUGCCGUGCAUAGCACGGAAGUAUCAAAACCCAAGUUUCAAGUAUCAAACAAGUUCCAAAAUUCAAGUUUAUAAACUUAAAAUUUAUUUACUUGAUACUUGUUUGUGAUUUGUUACUUGAUACUUGAUGUUUCCGCGCUGUGCGCGGCGGGGCCGCAGCGAAAGUCUCCCUGGCGACUGUUUACCAAAAACACAGCUUCCUGCGAACCCGUAAGGGGAUGUAUAGGAGGUGACACUUGACCAAUGCCAGAAGGUCAAAUACGGUCGUUGCUUUGUCGCAAGAUGAAGUGGUGAACUGUAUAAGCCCUGGUGAAUGUCGGCGAUAACUAUAAGAUGAUUGUAGUUAAAAAAUUCGGCCAUAUGCUGGAAACCCUGCGCAUGCUUUAGUACUACGAAAGUAGUGAAAAUCUAAAGACGAUGCCACGUAAAAUCAAAUCACGUGGCGAGCAGACAAUCAGCAGGAAAGGCUCAGUGUGUUGGAAAAUGGCAGGAGAGGAUUGCGCCGUUAUAGCGCGAGACCACCGUGGCUUGUAAACCACGACCUCGUAGCAGCGGAAAUGCACCGAACCUCCAGAGGGAAGAGGGUGAGUGAUAUCCCGCUCUCUUCCCGCCAUUUUCCAGCACAUUGAGAAUCCUCAGAGACUAUACGCCGAACUCGACUCUCUUAACUGAGAACAACGAGAUGAUAUAGUCCGACCUCUAUGGCGACAUAGAGAAUUGUGCAGUGCUACUGGUUUUCUGCACAGAAUAACAGACGUAAAUCGUCCUAAGGUUUUCCACUUAACUUCGGUUGAGUGGAGAAGGACUAGGACGAAGCGUCUAUAAAAUCAAAAGCUACCUCUCUUUGCAGUAAUGCACAGGUGGUCCUAAAAACACGGCUAUAUGCUGAAAUACUAUGGUAAGAUUAUUCCAUAGUGAAGAAGCAGGAAAGGCCAGAAAUUGAAGCAUGGAUGAGCGGUUUCACUGACGGUGAAGGAUGUUUUUCAGUAAGCAUCUUUCGCAAUAAAACCACAUCAUCCGGUUGGCAAGUUUUCCCGGAGUUUGUCAUAACUCAAGGAAAAAAAAGCUUGCCAGCACUUAAAAUCUUUCAAGAAUACUUUGGAUGUGGAACAAUCAUCCAAAAUAUC
RNAcentral lists this ribosomal RNA (3068 nucleotides) under groundwater metagenome. RNAcentral describes it as "bacterial LSU rRNA". The stretch from base 5 to 2373 matches the Rfam family "Bacterial large subunit ribosomal RNA", at positions 15 to 2044 of the family's 2925-position model. The record is from RNAcentral.